AACCAUAGAAACCUGCGGAGUACCUGCGGAGGGAUCAUUAUAGUAUAUGGAAUCUCCAUUCUAUAAACCCACUCUGCGUAUCUUGUAACUGUUGCUUCCAUGGGACUUGGUUCCGCCACACCGGCUUCACGGCUGGUGAGCGCCCAUGGAAGGGGAAACAAAACUCUUCUUUGAAAUGUAGUCAGUCUGAACAAGUUUUUAUAAACGUUAAAACUUUUAACAAUGGAUCUCAGAUCGGAA
This 240-nucleotide unclassified non-coding RNA is filed under the name soil metagenome. RNAcentral describes it as "partial contains 5.8S ribosomal RNA, internal transcribed spacer 2, and large subunit ribosomal RNA". The record is from RNAcentral.